This 661-nucleotide long non-coding RNA is filed under the name Sus scrofa (pig). RNAcentral's name for it is "lncRNA (ENSSSCG00070011680.1)". The record is from RNAcentral. Lineage: Eukaryota; Metazoa; Chordata; Mammalia; Artiodactyla; Suidae.
GCGCCGGGCUCUGUGCGCAGGCGCUCAUCGGUCCUCGGUGGGGCGGCCGGGCGGUGUCGAGCUUCUCCGGGCGCGGUCGCGCGUGGGGCGGGCGGUGGGUCGCGGAGGUCGCGCCCUGGCCCGCGUCGGCAGCGCGACACGAUGGAGAGGGGCUCGGGAAAGAGGCACCGCCGCCUGCGUCGCGUCCACACUGAAUGGAGGCAGACCUGGGGGCCCCGAGCGAACGCGCAGGAAGGGCUGCUUUUGGGGGCGAGGCUGCGCUUGCUGCGGCCCAGAGGACAGAACGACAGACACCAUCCGGCCCCGCCAGCCAGGGAGGCUCCGUUGGAACAAGGCAUCUCUGCGGAGUCAAGAAAGAGGGGGACUCCAGAAACAGGAAUCUCACGGGAAGACCCACACCCCCCUCCAGCCUCUGACCCGAGAUGGAUCAGAGCUUCAGAGGAGAAGCACUGGAAACCCAGAAAAGGAGCGUAUGGCUCAGAGCGGCCAAGGCUUGAGUGAUUUGCCUACAAUCAGCUGCUGGGUACCUGGCUGGCACUGGACGUUUUGAGGCGAGAGUGGGUAAGCUCGAAUCAUCCUGGUCCUCUUCCCUCCUCCUCCAGGAGGGCCUUCCCGGGUUUUGGCACUCUUAGGAGAACAACACACAAUGCACAGAUCCCAG